AUUAACCUCAAAUGGUUGUUUUUGAAUUAUAAUAGCUUGUCUGGAGAGAUACCUCAAUCCUUGCAGAAGUGCACAAGUUUGAUUCUCCUGGCUCUUGGGAACAAUUCACUAUCUGGGAGCAUACCGACAUGGUUGGGGGAAAGCUUAGAGAAUCUGCGGGAUAUAUCGUUACAUCACAAUACUUUCGAAGGAAAUAUACCAUUGCAGCUUUGCCAGUUGAGACACCUAUCUUACUUGGACUUCUCUUUCAAUUCACUAUCAG
This 262-nucleotide unclassified non-coding RNA is filed under the name Hevea brasiliensis (rubber tree). Lineage: Eukaryota; Viridiplantae; Streptophyta; Magnoliopsida; Malpighiales; Euphorbiaceae. The record is from RNAcentral.